Molecule: long non-coding RNA, 1397 nt
Organism: Dreissena polymorpha
Lineage: Eukaryota; Metazoa; Mollusca; Bivalvia; Myida; Dreissenidae
Exons: 3
Source: RefSeq, a predicted model, not a curated record
AAAUUUACAAUAUAUUUUAUGCGAACAUAUUUGCCUUGUACAUGUAAGUUUUACAAACAAACUAACGGCCAUUUUCAUGGCGAACGUGUCAACAGUGUUGUGUGAAAGUUUUAAACAAGAAAAUGGACAGUAACAAUAUCGAACGGGAUUUUAACAUUACUUUUACAUUGGAUUUUAAAUCAGUUACUUAUUUUUCAUUUUUGGCAUCACCGUAGUAAACAUUAAAGUUUGAAAUGUUCACUGUUGCCCCAAAAAACAGACCCCAACGUGUCGAGUCAAAGUGGGUGGGGAAAGAGAUUGCUUCUGGAUUUAAAGUUGCUGUAACUUCUUGAGGAAGCUGUUGUUGUCCAGGAUUCAGAAGUGCUGCCAGUUGUGAAUGGGACGAAGAUGAAAUGGCGAUGCUUUCGCGCUGCAUCAUGCUUUGGGACAUGCUUGAUGCAAUGGAUUCGUUGCUUUUGGCAAUGCUAGUACCUGCCAAAAUAUUGGAACAUUUCUUUUGAGUCUGAAUGGAAAUGUUGCUAUAGUUAAUUAUGCUUUGAACGUUUUUGUGUCCACUGAUUUGCAUUAUAUCCGUGGAGCAGCAUCCUGAAUCCCGCAGCUUCUGAACCAUGUGCUUCCUGGCAGAGUGAUUUAAACAACGAACCUGUAAGUUGCGACAACACAUUUGGAUGGGUCUUCAUCAUUGGCCCACAUUCUUGGCGGCACAGUUCUUGCUUCGUCAGUUGCACCCGUUCGAGUCUUUGUCUGCCUCUCGACCAACUCCAGAUACUCAUCUCCUUCUACGUCUCGGCACAGCUUCACAUCACCCCAUCUAAUUAAUUCGGAAAGGUUGACGACCAGUGAAAACAAUGUUAUUUUCAGUUAAAGUUGUGGUGACAGAACAGUCUACGAACAAAUUUUUAGAUACAUGUUCAUGUACAAUCUAAAUUGCAGACACUGGAAAGUUGAAUUGUUAAUGUGUUAUAAGACAUAGUUCGCCUUUAUAUUUAUAAGACAGAAAAAGUGACAGAAAAAUUUGCAAUUUUAAGUAAUAGUUAUAAGUCAAGAUGCAUCGUAUAUAUUCUGUAUUCCAGCAAGUUUGAAAUUUUAUUUUUUACCGUAAAUUGUAAUGUUCUUCCACACUCCGCAUGCCGAAGUUUGUUGUGAAUCGGAACCAUAGAGAGUUUAUUAUGGCCUGUGGACUUCCAUUACCGAGUUGCCCUUUAUCGUAGAGCUUUUGAAUUUCAUGCUGCUCUAUUGGUUGGGCCGCAUUCGCCUUGUUUCCUUUGCCUUCUUUCUUAACUUUUUUCAUUUUAGACUGGAAGGUUUGAAAAUCAAGUAACCUUCAAUCAUUUUGAAUGUCAAAAUUAUAGUAUUUGUGUGUUAGUAAUUAACCCUUUCAGUGCGGGAACCAAAUU